AUUGCACAGCAGCUCCCGAGCUGCAGGGAGAGUGGGAGUGCACGGCACCAAACUGCGCCUCUUGGGGUGUUGCAGAGGAUUUGUUAACAAAUAUUUUCCUCUCCUUUAUUCUAGGCUCUGGAAGAACUGUGCCUCACCUCCGUCUCUCUGCCUCUGUCGGCUCCCUCUACUCCCCAGGCCUUGCUGUCAGCACCUGCAACAGAGCUGUCCCUGCUGUGGUCUGGGGAAAGUUCCAGCCAGGCCCUCUGUGGCGCAUCUAGCCCUGGGGUGGGGCAUCCAGGGUAUUGAAUCUACAAAAAUGCAUCCAUUUCACCUCCAAGUUUGCUCUGUGCACACCAAGCUGUGUGCAGGAUAGGCUACCCUAGAGAGCUGGGUACCCACGCAGCCUUCCACAAAGCCCCACCUACAUGGCUGCUGUAGGUUCUCAUCAUCCUGUGCUCACUGGGAAGGCUGGCAGAUCCACACCGGAGACCAUGGGCUGGCGAGAAGCAGGGCCUUGGUGCUAGAGAGACUUGCCCAAGCAUUCUUCUGCAAGCUCCGAGACAGAGGAGUGAGCAAGCCUCAGGGGCGUGAAGGUGCUCAGGAGAGAGCAGGACACACGCAGAACCUGGAGAGAGCCAGAGGAGGGACUGGCCGCAGAGAAGCCCAUCGCCUGCCAGCGCUGACGUGGACAUUGGGACAAGGUUUCUGCUGCUGGCCCAGCCCUGCAGAUUCCUCACUCCCAUGCCUCGGCCUGAGAAUCCUGGAAACAGAAGGCUGGACCUGCACCUGCCAGGUGGCCAUGGCCUCGGUGUGGGAGCAACAUGGGGAGACCUGGGUCCCUGAGUGGCCAUGACCAUCGACCUAGAACAAUCAGCUCAGGACUGUUAUGUGGGAGCAACAAUCAUCCAGCUCCUUCAAGCUGCUGCAUCCAAGGGUCUCUUCAUUCCAUUAUGGAUAUAGCCUAAGAAAUGGUGACAGUAAAGGGUCUCAUACAACAUGUCCCAUUUUUAUUAAUUUUAAUAAAUAAGGGAAAUUGAAUAUA
RNAcentral lists this long non-coding RNA (1024 nucleotides) under Pongo abelii (Sumatran orangutan). Its description in RNAcentral is "lincRNA". The record is from RNAcentral. Lineage: Eukaryota; Metazoa; Chordata; Mammalia; Primates; Hominidae.